This 233-nucleotide ribosomal RNA is filed under the name uncultured bacterium. Its description in RNAcentral is "partial 16S ribosomal RNA". It matches the Rfam family "Bacterial small subunit ribosomal RNA", at positions 794 to 1035 of the family's 1533-position model. The record is from RNAcentral.
UCCACGCUGUAAACGAUGAUCACUCGUUGUUGGCGAUACAUUGUCAGCGACCAAGCGAAAGCAUUAAGUGAUCCACCUGGGGAGUACGAUCGCAAGAUUGAAACUCAAAGGAAUUGACGGGGGCCCGCACAAGCGGAGGAACAUGUGGUUUAAUUCGAUGAUACGCGAGGAACCUUACCUGGGCUUAAAUGCAGGGCGAUUUUUCCCGAAAGGGAUUUUUCGGACGACCUGCA